UCAAAUCCUCGGGCUUAACCCGAGACUCGCGAACGAAACGGCAUUGCUAGAGAAUGUGGGGAGUAUGGGGAACUCAUGGUGUAGGGGUGAAAUCCGUUGAUAUCAUGGGGAACACCGAAAGCGAAAGCACCAUACUAACACAUAUCUGACGCUCAAGCACGAAAGCGUGGGUAGCGAAUGGGAUUAGAUACCCCAGUAGUCCACGCCCUAAACGAUGAUCUCUAGUCUUUCGGAGUAUCGACCCUCUGAGAGACGUAGCUAACGCGUUAAGAGAUCCGCCUGGGAAGUACGGCCGCAAGGCUAAAACUCAAAGGAAUAGACGGGGACUUGCACAAGUAGUGGAUUAUGUGGUUUAAUUCGAUGAUAAACGAAGAACCUUACCAAGGUUAGAAACCAAUUUGAAAGCCCUAAGAAACUAGGGCCCUCGCAAGACAGAUUGGCAGGUGAUGCAUGGCCGUCGUCAGUUCGUGGUUUGAAUUGUUCCCUUAAGUGGGGUAACGAACGCAACCCUCAUCGUGUGUUAUAAGUGUCACACGAGACUGCCCAGCCCUUUGGAUUUAAUUAAAAAGAUUGAAUCUAGUGGGCUGGGAGGAAGGGGAGGAUGACGCCAGGUCAGCAUGUCCCUUGAUACCUUGGGCUACACACAUAAUACAAUCGCAAUUACAACGGGCUGCGACGAGGCAACUCUGAGCUAAUCCUAAGAAAAAUUGCGCCAGUUCGGAUUGGGGGCUGCAACUCGACCCCAUGAAGUUGGAAUUACUAGUAAUCGCGGGUCAGAUAUACCGCGGUGAAUACGUUCUCAAGUCUUGUACUCACCGCCCGUCAAUUCAAGGGAGCCGGGAGUGCUCGAAGUCUCUCCAGAAGGAGGGCCUACAGUAAGCUCGGUGACAGGGAAUAAGUCGUAACAAGGCACGGGUAGCGGAAGCUGUUCGUG
RNAcentral lists this ribosomal RNA (934 nucleotides) under anaerobic digester metagenome. RNAcentral describes it as "bacterial SSU rRNA". It matches the Rfam family "Bacterial small subunit ribosomal RNA", at positions 595 to 1520 of the family's 1533-position model. The record is from RNAcentral.